Molecule: ribosomal RNA, 429 nt
Filed under: Chloroflexota bacterium
Lineage: Bacteria; Bacillati; Chloroflexota
Description: Chloroflexi bacterium partial 16S ribosomal RNA
Rfam family: Bacterial small subunit ribosomal RNA
Source: RNAcentral
UGGGGAAUAUUGCACAAUGGGCGCAAGCCUGAUGCAGCCAUGCCGCGUGUAUGAAGAAGGCCUUCGGGUUGUAAAGUACUUUCAGCGGGGAGGAAGGGAGUAAAGUUAAUACCUUUGCUCAUUGACGUUACCCGCAGAAGAAGCACCGGCUAACUCCGUGCCAGCAGCCGCGGUAAUACGGAGGGUGCAAGCGUUAAUCGGAAUUACUGGGCGUAAAGCGCACGCAGGCGGUUUGUUAAGUCAGAUGUGAAAUCCCCGGGCUCAACCUGGGAACUGCAUUCGAAACUGGCAGGCUAGAGUCUUGUAGAGGGGGGUAGAAUUCCAGGUGUAGCGGUGAAAGGCGUAGAGAUCUGGAGGAAUACCGGUGGCGAAGGCGGCCCCCUGGACAAAGACUGACGCUCAGGUGCGAAAGCGUGGGGAGCAAACAGG